GUGACCAAUAUGUUUGGCAAGGUCCCUCCCUCACUAUGGUGAUAAUAUCGUAUCGUGACCAAUAUGUUUGGCAAGGUCCCUCACUCACUAUGGCGAUAAUAUCGUGACCAAUAUGUUUGGCAAGGUCCCUCACUAUGGCGAUCGUAUCGUGACCAAUAUGUUUGGCAAGGUCCCUCACUAUGGUGAUCGUAUCGUGACCAAUAUGUUUGGCAAGGUCCCUCACUAUGGCGAUAAUAUCGUGACCAAUAUGUUUGGCAAGGUCCCUCACUAUGGCGAUCGUAUCGUGACCAAUAUGUUUGGCAAGGUCCCUCACUAUGGCGAUAAUAUCGUAUCGUGAGGCCCCUGACCAUUCACAAACCUAGUUUCUAUUAGACAAAUUCAGGUAGGUCCCUCCCUGUUUCCUUCGCUUCCAUUUAAUUCUGUUUGGUUCCUAGUGAAUACAGCCAUGAUUUGUUAAAUACCUUUUCAUAUGUGUUGUAAUAUCUGUCAUGCAGGGCCUGUCUGCGAUGUAUUCGGACAGGAACUCAACCCUUAAAAAACGACAGCCUACUAUCAAAUCAAAUGUAUUUAUAUAGCCCUUCGUACAUCAGCUGAUAUCUCUGUGCUGUACAGAAACUGUACAGAAACCCAGCCUAAAACCCCAAACAGCAAUGCAGGUGUAGAAGCACGGUGGCUAGGAAAAACUCCCUAGAAAGGCCAGAACCUAGGAAGAAACCUAGAGAGGAACCAGGGUAUGAGGGGUGGGCCAGUCCUCUUCUGGCCGUGCCGGGUGGAGAUUAUAACAGAACAUGGCCAAGAUGUUCAAAUGUUCAUAAAUGACCAGCAGGGUCAAAUAAUAAUAAUCACAGGCACACACUAUGUGUGUGAUGAACAGUUUCCUGGCACAAUUACCCAUGUUUCCACCAGUUUGGUUAUGGGGGUUUACAGGUUAUGAUAGUGCUGUACAACUUCAAUCUAUGGACUUCUCAUCUGUCAAGGUCACAAUGAGAAUGUUAUGUAAUAAAUCAUUGUUUCUUCCCGAUUGAUCCUCUCUACUACUUUAUUGCGAGUCAUGUGGCUUUAAAUCAUUAUAAUUAUUAUAAUGGCGCCGGAGGAGAUGUUGUACGUAAUGUUUCUGCUCCAUGAA
This 1126-nucleotide long non-coding RNA is filed under the name Oncorhynchus mykiss (rainbow trout). RNAcentral's name for it is "lncRNA (ENSOMYG00000074124.1)". The record is from RNAcentral. Lineage: Eukaryota; Metazoa; Chordata; Actinopteri; Salmoniformes; Salmonidae.